This 1438-nucleotide long non-coding RNA is filed under the name Canis lupus familiaris (dog). RNAcentral describes it as "lncRNA (ENSCAFG00030014554.1)". The record is from RNAcentral. Lineage: Eukaryota; Metazoa; Chordata; Mammalia; Carnivora; Canidae.
UGUGGAGUCAUUUGCAUAGUAUUACAAGUAACAGUGCCAGGAUUUAAACAAAAUUCCAUCUCCAGAAUACCAAGCAAAGAUGAGUUAUUUACCUCACUUCUUGCAGCUGAUAACAGUUUUCCAUUGCCUGAGUGUGGUGUCAUUGUCUAAUAGGAGUAUAAGAAAAACUUACCAAGCAAGAGUAAGUCCAUAGCAAAGGAGAUUAGUGCUGUAUAGAAUCUCUCACACUGCAUUUCACAGAGUAGAUAAUAGAUAUUCAUUGAAUGAAUUUUAGCCAAUGGGAAAAUAAAAUAUGAUAUAGAAUUUCCACCUGAUUCCAGUACGAUUCCACACUGAUUGAUGACAAUCCACAGUUAUUUUGUCCAUAUGAAAUAUGAUCAAGAUUUAUAAAAAAUUAUCCUAAAAAUCUAGAACCCUGAGGAAUCUUUCAUAUUGCCUUAAUUUAUAAAAUUAUUAAGCUGAGUGAUACAGUGUUUUAGAGAGAAAUAUUCUCAUGUCAAAAAUUAUAAAUAGGAAAGAACAUUACUACUGUUAUUUGAUUAAUUGUCAAAAUAAAGUGGAGCUUGCUAGCCUUAAAUAUAUCUUGGUUGAUUUAUACAUAUGUGGAUGAAAAGAGAAAUAAGCUAAACAAAUUCUAUCUAUUUUAGAAUAUUUCAGAAGUUUAUUUUGCCUUGUAUUUUAGAUAUAUGAAGAUUUUUUCAAAAGAUUUAUUUUAUUUUUGAGGAAGAAGCAUGAAGAACAGUGGCAGAAGGAGAAGGAAUCUCAAGCAGACUCCUCACUGAACUUGGAACCCAAUGGAGGCUUGCUCCCACACCCCCAUUUCAGGACCCUAGCUGAAACCAAAUCCAUUGCCCAACUGACUGGGCCACCAAGGCUCAUCAGAAUACUUCAAGUCCCAGAGAUAUGCUUUUUGUCUCUACACUGUUACCAAUCUUGUAAGAAAUACUGCCAAGGUAAGACUUUUUUGGGUUUUUUUUGUCAAAGUUUUUAAGGAUUACAUUUUAAGGAUGUUAAUCCAACCGAACAGAUUUACAUACAAUGCAGCAUUAUGUGAGGAAUAUGUCGAAUAUACAUUGAAAAUCAAAAGAAAAAUUAAAAAGACACCAUCAAAUAUUAAUCAAACAUAAAGCUCUGGCAAUCAUUCUCAAAUUUUCAUCAAAACUCACAUUUAAUUAUUUGUUCAUUCAUUCUAUCAUCAGUUAUAUAUCUAGUACCUACCAGAAUUUAGUGUCUCUGAGAUACAUCCUAGCACCCAACUCCUAGGAUAUGAUGAUGUUGCUUUUAAACCAGAUAAUCAAGGUUCUUCUUUCCCUGAGCUUAAAGAGCAAGAACCACACUGACUUCUCAGUGCAGACUUGAUGGAGGGCAGAGUUAUGAUUAACUAACCAGAAUAUAAAUAAAAACUUGAGGGUGCCUGAGUGGCUCAGUUGGUCAAGCG